Molecule: long non-coding RNA, 1151 nt
Filed under: Olea europaea subsp. europaea
Lineage: Eukaryota; Viridiplantae; Streptophyta; Magnoliopsida; Lamiales; Oleaceae
Source: RNAcentral
AAAAGUUAAGCCAAUGGUUAAUGUUCCAGAGAUAUAUCUUAAUAACCAUUUUAGACCUGCCCAAUGUGGUUUACCAGGAUUCGACAUAAAUCGACUUAGAAAACUAAUAGCAUAGGCUAAAUCAGGUCUUGUUGUAAUCAUUGAAAACAUCACAGACCCUAUUGCAUUAGCAUAUGGAAUGUUUUUCAUUUCUCUCAUCUCAAUUUCAAUCUUUGGUGAUUGAGCAAUGGAGAGGUUCAUGUGGGCAGCUAGAGGUACAUUUACAGACUUGGCAUCUUUCAUACCGAACUUGGUUAUAACUUUAUUUAGAUAAGAUUCUUGAGAUAUUGUCAGUUUAUUACUACGCCUAUCUCUCUUUAUAACCAUCCCUAAGAUUUUCUUGGCGUUGCCUAAGUCUUUUAUAUCAAAUUCAGAUUUCAAGAGGUUCUUAAGUCUUUCAAUUUCAGGCAUACUGGAACUUGCUAGAAGCAUAUCAUCUACAUAUAGAAGAAGGUAUACUUCACUUCCAACCUUAGCAUUAUUAAAGUAUAAACAGUGAUCAUACUCACUCCUCUUGAAUCCAAUUUUCAGCACAUAUGUGUCAAACCUUAUAUACCAUUGUCUUGGGCUUUGUUUAAGCCCGUAUAAGGAUUUUUGUAACUUACACACAAAAUCCUGUUUUUCUUUCACCUCAAAGCCUUGAGGUUGACACAUAUAAAUGUCCUCUUCUAGCUCACCAUGUAAGAAUGCAGUCUUAACAUCUAAUUGUUCAAGUUCCCAGUUGAAUUGAACAACUAGUGCAAGAAUCAUUCUUAUGGUUUUAUAUUUUAUGACUGGCGAAAAUAUUUCAUUAUAGUCCACUCCUUCUUUCUGAGUAAAGCCCUUGGCUACUAGCCUGGCUUUAUACCUAACAGGUUCAGAUGAAUUAUUCCCUUCCUUUAACUUGUAAAUCCACUUACACUGAACGAUUCUAUGAUUAUUAGGCCUUUUUACCAACUUUCAGGUUUUAUUUUCAGUUAGGGACUGCAAUUCUUCCCUCAUUGCAACUUUCCAUUUAGCAGCAUUAGGACAAUUCAUUGCCUCCUCAAAAGUAGUGGGUUCUGAAUUUUCUAAUGCUUCACCUGAAGUUAAGGCAAAAUCAGUCAGGUUAUUAAUGUAAUAUCUGAGAUUAG